AACGGAUCCCGUUCGCAUCCUGAGGUACCACUGUGUGUGUGUGUGUAUACACACACACACACAGUGGUACCUCAGGAUGCGAACGGGAUCCGUU
This 94-nucleotide microRNA precursor is filed under the name Podarcis lilfordi (Lilford's wall lizard). Lineage: Eukaryota; Metazoa; Chordata; Lepidosauria; Squamata; Lacertidae. The record is from RNAcentral.